This 253-nucleotide ribosomal RNA is filed under the name uncultured bacterium. Its description in RNAcentral is "partial 16S ribosomal RNA". It matches the Rfam family "Bacterial small subunit ribosomal RNA", at positions 524 to 776 of the family's 1533-position model. The record is from RNAcentral.
UACGUAGGGGGCAAGCGUUGUCCGGAUUUAUUGGGCGUAAAGAGCGUGUAGGCGGCCAGACAGGUCAGCUGUGAAAACUCGAGGCUCAACCUCGAGACGUCGGUUGAAACCGUCUGGCUAGAGUCCGGAAGAGGAGAGUGGAAUUCCCGGUGUAGCGGUGAAAUGCGCAGAUAUCGGGAAGAACACCCGUGGCGAAGGCGGCACGCUGGACCUCAUCUGACGCUGAGGCGCGAAAGCCAGGGGAGCAAACGGG